AAAGGAAACCAACAGGGAUUGCCCCAGUAACGGCGAGUGAAGCGGCAAGAGCUCAAAUUUGAAAGCUGGCUCCUUCGGGGUCCGCAUUGUAAUUUGUAGAGGAUGCUUCGGGAGCGGUCCCCAUCUAAGUGCCCUGGAACGGGACGUCAUAGAGGGUGAGAAUCCCGUAUGGGAUGGGGUGUCCGCGCCCGUGUGAAGCUCCUUCGACGAGUCGAGUUGUUUGGGAAUGCAGCUCUAAAUGGGUGGUAAAUUUCAUCUAAAGCUAAAUAUUGGCCGGAGACCGAUAGCGCACAAGUAGAGUGAUCGAAAGAUGAAAAGCACUUUGAAAAGAGAGUUAAAAAGCACGUGAAAUUGUUGAAAGGGAAGCGCUUGCGACCAGACUCGCUCGCGGGGUUCAGCCGGCAUUCGUGCCGGUGUACUUCCCCGCGGGCGGGCCAGCGUCGGUUUGGGCGGUCGGUCAAAGGCCCUCGGAAGGUAACGCCCCUAGGGGCGUCUUAUAGCCGAGGGUGCAAUGCGACCUGCCUAGACCG
RNAcentral lists this ribosomal RNA (530 nucleotides) under Penicillium chrysogenum. RNAcentral describes it as "partial large subunit ribosomal RNA". It matches the Rfam family "Eukaryotic large subunit ribosomal RNA", at positions 57 to 591 of the family's 3401-position model. The record is from RNAcentral. Lineage: Eukaryota; Fungi; Ascomycota; Eurotiomycetes; Eurotiales; Aspergillaceae.